RNAcentral lists this ribosomal RNA (503 nucleotides) under uncultured bacterium. RNAcentral's name for it is "bacterial SSU rRNA". It matches the Rfam family "Bacterial small subunit ribosomal RNA", at positions 30 to 504 of the family's 1533-position model. The record is from RNAcentral.
CGAACGCUGGCGGCGUGCCUAAUACAUGCAAGUCGAGCGCAGGAAGCUCGCGGAACUCUUCGGAGGGAAGCGAGUGGAAUGAGCGGCGGACGGGUGAGUAACACGUAAGGAACCUGCCUCAAGGAUUGGGAUAACUCCGAGAAAUCGGAGCUAAUACCGGAUAGUUCUUCGGACCGCAUGGUCCGAUGAUGAAAGGCGCUUCGGCGUCACCUUGAGAUGGCCUUGCGGUGCAUUAGCUAGUUGGUGGGGUAAUGGCCUACCAAGGCGACGAUGCAUAGCCGAACUGAGAGGGUGAUCGGCCAAACUGGGACUGAGACACGGCCCAGACUCCUACGGGAGGCAGCAGUAGGGAAUCUUCCACAAUGGACGAAAGUCUGAUGGAGCAACGCCGCGUGAGUGAUGAAGGUUUUCGGAUCGUAAAACUCUGUUGUAAGGGAAGAACAGAUACGAGAGGUAAUGCUCGUAUCCUGACGGUACCUUGCGAGAAAGCCACGGCUAACUAC